GUGUCAGCCGCCGCGGUAAUACGUAGGGGGCUAGCGUUGUCCGGAAUCAUUGGGCGUAAAGAGCGUGUAGGCGGCUCGGUAAGUCCGCUGUGAAAGUCCAGGGCUCAACCCUGGAAUGCCAGUGGAAACUGUCGAGCUAGAGUCCGGAAGAGGCGAGUGGAAUUCCUGGUGUAGCGGUGAAAUGCGUAGAUAUUGGGAGGAACACCGGUGGCGAAGGCGGCCCCCUGGACCGGUACUGACGCUGAUGCGCGAAAGCGUGGGUAGCAAACGGGACUAGAAACCCCGGUAGUCC
This 292-nucleotide ribosomal RNA is filed under the name uncultured bacterium. Its description in RNAcentral is "partial 16S ribosomal RNA". It matches the Rfam family "Bacterial small subunit ribosomal RNA", at positions 505 to 796 of the family's 1533-position model. The record is from RNAcentral.